UAGAUUUCUUUUUCACUUUAGGUAGACCUUACAUAUGAUGAUUUUCUUGUAUCUAUGCCUACAUGUUGUUUGCUGAUGAUAUAUCUGACUACUGCUACGCUAUAUACUUAUCUCUCUUUCGUCUAUCUGGCUGUUGGUUGUUUUGGAGCCGGGGGUCUCUCAGGAAGCAGCCUCUCUAUUCUUAGGAUAGAGGCAAGCUUCUGAAUUCAUCUGUGGAACUAAUCUCACACCAACCUUCGCCGCUUGCUAACUUAGAGAGUUUGAGGCUUCUUCCAAAAAGUUAUGAUUUGUGGCAAACAAGAUUUUUUGUGUCUAUUGAAGUAAAAAGCUAUUUGCUAAGUAGGUCUCCAAAAGCCACCUUGACUGAGGUGCCGCGAGAGGAAAGGAAUGCUGUGAUUUAGCUGCAGGUGGUCAUCCAAAAUCUUUAGCAAAUUGUAAGUUAUUGAUUUCCCUUCUCAUAUACAUAACAUAAGUGAUGACUAGAAUCAACUGUUGGUGCCAUAAUCUUUUUUAUUUUUGAUUCAGGUCCUGAUUCCCUAGAAGAGUUUAUACCCUAAACCUACCGAUUAUGAAAAUCGGAUGACUAAAACAUCAGUUAUAGGUUCAUUUUGGUCUCGUAACCAAAACAAACCAUGUUCACCCCUACAUGUCUCAUAUAUGUGCAC
Helianthus annuus (common sunflower) is the source of this 665-nucleotide long non-coding RNA. RefSeq lists it as uncharacterized. Lineage: Eukaryota; Viridiplantae; Streptophyta; Magnoliopsida; Asterales; Asteraceae. The record is from RefSeq and is a predicted model, not a curated record. The transcript is spliced from 3 exons.